UGCUCGUACUGUCUCUCUCUCGUUUUUCACAAAAUGACGAAGGUAUCUUUGAAGGGCAGGUAUGAAAAUGACAAAAGCAGCGCAGCAGCUACUGUUGCCUUCAACGCCGGCGAUGUCAAGCUCCGGGCUUCCAUGACCGACGCCACUGUCGUCAAUGGCCCGAGCUUAAACGGCUUGGUUUUAGCUGUCGAGAAACCCGGCUUCUUCAUCGUCGACUACAACGUUCCCCAAAAGGAUUUUCGGUUUCAGUUUAUGAACACUGUUAAGGUUGCUGAUAAGCCCUUGAACCUGACAUACAUUCACAGCAGAGGGGAUAACCGCACGAUAUUCGAUGGGGCUCUUGUGUUUGAUUCAGCCAAUAAGGUUUCCGCAAAUUACAUGCUUGGUACAGGGAAUUGUAAGUUGAAGUAUACUUAUGUGCAUGGAGGGGCAACCACAUUUGAACCAUGCUAUGAUUUGGCAAAGAAUUCUUGGGAUUUUGCCGUUUCACAGAAGGUUUAUGCUGAUGAUGUGUUUAGGGCUACAUAUCAAACGUCAAGCAAGGCAUUGGGAUUAGAGUGGUCAAGAAAUUCAAAAUUUAAUGGCAAUUUUAAGGUCUCCGCAUCCCUCAAUUUGGGUGAGGAAUCAAAAGUGCCGAAACUAAUUGCUGAGAGUACAUGGAACUUUGAGAUGUGACAUGUUCUUUGUUUAUAAUUACAUUUGUUAGAUGUUGCAUUGGAUUGCUGCACCCCUAAUAGCUUUAAGCUUCUUUUUGUCCUUCAAUAUUGUUUAUAAUUGUGAUUGAGCUGAUUACCUGGCAAGGGGGCAGUUUCCAUGGCAUCAAUUGUCAAGCUGUUUAUUUCUGUUUUGCAAAAUGAUACUUUCUGUUGGUUUAGAAUCUUGUAGCUUUACCUAUGUAC
Molecule: unclassified non-coding RNA, 899 nt
Filed under: Hevea brasiliensis (rubber tree)
Lineage: Eukaryota; Viridiplantae; Streptophyta; Magnoliopsida; Malpighiales; Euphorbiaceae
Source: RNAcentral